RNAcentral lists this long non-coding RNA (1095 nucleotides) under Pan paniscus (pygmy chimpanzee). RNAcentral's name for it is "lncRNA (ENSPPAG00000044214.1)". Lineage: Eukaryota; Metazoa; Chordata; Mammalia; Primates; Hominidae. The record is from RNAcentral.
UAUAACGUGAAAUUGGUAAAUUAAAGGUUAUCUCAAUUCUGAAUUAUAAAAAAAAAGACGGCCGGGCAUGAUGGCUCACGCCUGUAAUCCCAGCACUUUGGGAGGCCGAGGUGGGUGGAUCAUGAGGUCAGGAGAUCGAGAAUAUCCUGGCCAACAUGGUGAAACUCUGUCUCUACUAAAAAUCCAAAAAUUAGCUGGGUGUGGUGGUGCAUGACUAUGGUCCCAGCUACUCAGGAGGCUGAGGCAGGAGAAUCACUUGAACCCGGGAGGUGGAGGUUGCAGUGAGCUGAGAUCGCGCCACUGCACUCCAGCCUGGUGACAGAAUGAGACUCCGUCUACAAAAAAAAAAAAAAAAAGAAAAGAAAAGGGAAGAAAGAAAAAUGACAAAGACAGUAUUUAAGUACAAUGUGUGCUAAUAUUAUCUUAGUUUUGUCCUUAGAAACAGCACAUGCCUGGGGAAGUUAUGGAGGUUAUGCAAUCAGCAAACUUAGAAACGUGUUGCUUAACUUCAAAAUUGCGUGGUGGGAAACGUUUCUUGGAGGCCUGAUUUUUUCUAACCAGUUUAUACAAAUGACAACUGCGGUCCCAUCCACUCCAAUCUGUGGAUUUGGUGAACAUGAACAUCUAUCCUUUAAGCAUGACAUGAAUUUUGUUAAAUAUGGAAUGUUUUCCAGAGCUCACUCACCAACGGUAAUAUAAACCACUCUCAGCCCAUAUCCUUCUUUAACAUUCCGGACUAUUGGAGGAAUUCUUGACUUCAACAUGUUUCUGGACCCCACUCCUGAAAAUGUCCAGCAAUACACAGAGAUGAGUACAGUACUGUAAAUAAUGCUCACGUUCCCAUUGCCCUUGUUCUCAUGAGGGAGAAGCAAUUCGUGAGUCUAUAAAUUACCCAUCCUUCAGCCCUCUAAUCUCAAGGUUAAUUGUGCCUACAUUAAGGCCAAAACUCCUGACUUGAUUGUAACUUUAUUAAAUAAGGGUUUUAAAUCCUGUUGGAAUAAUUUAGCCAGAAUUUACCUGAAAUAAAAUUAUACCUUCAAAAAGUAUUCUAGACUUCUAGACUGAAGUAUUUUUUCCCCUCUAGUCAGAGCCACA